Molecule: ribosomal RNA, 381 nt
Filed under: uncultured bacterium
Lineage: Bacteria
Description: bacterial SSU rRNA
Rfam family: Bacterial small subunit ribosomal RNA
Source: RNAcentral
GAUGAACGCUGGCGGCGUGCUUAACACAUGCAAGUCGAACGAUGAUCCGGUGCUUGCACCGGGGAUUAGUGGCGAACGGGUGAGUAACACGUGAGUAACCUGCCCUUAACUCUGGGAUAAGCCUGGGAAACUGGGUCUAAUACCGGAUAUGACUGAUCAUCGCAUGGUGGUUGGUGGAAAGCUUUUUGUGGUUUUGGAUGGACUCGCGGCCUAUCAGCUUGUUGGGAGGUAAUGGCUUACCAAGGCGACGACGGGUAGCCGGCCUGAGAGGGUGACCGGCCACACUGGGACUGAGACACGGCCCAGACUCCUACGGGAGGCAGCAGUGGGGAAUUUUGGGCAAUGGGCGAAAGCCUGACCCAGCAACGCCGCGUGAAGGAU